This 246-nucleotide ribosomal RNA is filed under the name uncultured bacterium. Its description in RNAcentral is "partial 16S ribosomal RNA". It matches the Rfam family "Bacterial small subunit ribosomal RNA", at positions 796 to 1041 of the family's 1533-position model. The record is from RNAcentral.
CACGCCCUAAACGAUGCGAACUGGACGUUGGGCACACUUAGGUGCUCAGUGUCGAAGCUAACGCGUUAAGUUCGCCGCCUGGGGAGUACGGUCGCAAGACUGAAACUCAAAGGAAUUGACGGGGGCCCGCACAAGCGGUGGAGUAUGUGGUUUAAUUCGACGCAACGCGCAAAACCUUACCUGGGUUAAAUCCACUUGAACCCGCCAGAGAUGGUGGGGUGCCUUCGGGAGCAAGUGAGAAGGUGC